CCGCUGCCUGUUGAGGGAAAAGGUCAGCUUUGUGAAGGAGGCCAUAAUAAAGGUUCUGAAUCUGGUUUUGAUCUUCUCAGACCGAUGGCAGGCUGGAUUUGGAGCAUGGAAGAUCGAGUCUAUUGAUAAAAUGGAGUCAGAUUUUAAGAAUUGUCACAUGUUCCUAGUGACCAUCCUCAACAAGGCAGUUUGU
Molecule: long non-coding RNA, 193 nt
Organism: Nematolebias whitei (Rio pearlfish)
Lineage: Eukaryota; Metazoa; Chordata; Actinopteri; Cyprinodontiformes; Rivulidae
Exons: 3
Source: RefSeq, a predicted model, not a curated record